This 1338-nucleotide long non-coding RNA is filed under the name Oryctolagus cuniculus (rabbit). RNAcentral's name for it is "lncRNA (ENSOCUG00000037090.1)". The record is from RNAcentral. Lineage: Eukaryota; Metazoa; Chordata; Mammalia; Lagomorpha; Leporidae.
AUGGACACACAUACACCACCUGCAUACACACACCAUACACACAUCCCCCACACCACACAAAUCACGAACACAUGCAUCGCACUCACAUCUCAUACACACGCCACACACCUCAUACAUACACACACAUCACACACACUACACACAUACAUCACACUCACAUCUCAUGCACACACACUCCGCACACACCACACACAUCUCAUACACACACACUACACACAUACAUCACAUUCACAUCCCAUACACACUCCACACACAUCUCAUACAUACACACACAUCACACACACUACACACAUACAUCACACAUCUCAUACACACGCGCAUCACACACACCACACAAUCUCAUACAUACACACACACUACACACAUACAUCACACUCACAUCUCAUACACACACACUACACACAUCUCACACACACACACUACACACAUACAUCACAUACACAUCUCCUACACACUCCACACACAUCUCAUACAUACACCUCAUACAUACACACACAUCACACACACUACACACAUACGUUACAUCUCAUACACACACCACACACAUCUCAUACAUACACACACUACACACAUACAUUACAUCUCCUACACACUCCACACACAUCUCAUACAUACACACACAUCAUACACACAUACAUCACACUCACAUCUCAUACACACACACUCCACACACACCACACACAUCUCAUACACACACACACUACACACAUACAUCACAUUCACAUCUCAUACACACUCCACACACAUCUCAUACACACACACCACACACUUCUCAUACAUACACACACAUCACACACACUACACACAUACAUUACAUCUCAUACACACACACCACACACAUCUCAUACAUACACACACAUCACACACACUACACACAUACAUCACACUCACAUCUCAUACACACACACUCCACACACACCCCACACAAUCUCAUACAUAGACACUACACACAUAUAUCACACAUCACACACACUACACACAUACAUCACAUCACAUCUCAUACACACACACUCACAUCUCAUACACACACACCACACACAUCUCAUACAUACACACUCCACACACACCACACAAUCUCAUACAUACACACACACUCCACACACUCCACACAUAUAUCGCACUCAUAUAUCAUCACACACACACCCCACACACCUCAUACACACACACUACACACACCCACCACACACCUCAUACAUACACAUACAUCACACUCAUAUCUCAUACACACACACUCCACACACACCACACAUAUCUCAUGCACACACCACACAUCGCAUACACACUCCACACACAUCGCAUACAUCACACUCCCAUCGCACACACCCCACAAAUACAUAG